Molecule: long non-coding RNA, 1314 nt
Organism: Sander lucioperca (pikeperch)
Lineage: Eukaryota; Metazoa; Chordata; Actinopteri; Perciformes; Percidae
Exons: 2
Source: RefSeq, a predicted model, not a curated record
UAUAAUUGGGCGCAAUGAACAGUUUACAGUAAAAAUAAACAUGUCAUUGCUCUCUGAUAGAAAAAGUGCAGUAUGUAAUGGUGGCCUGCUAGCCAACAUGCAUGCUGAAUUCGGCCACACUGUAGUUGAACAGCUCAUUUAAAUGGGUAUCAAACCUAACUGCUUGGCGAUUGGACUGUUAUUACUAUGACAUGAGCCUCCCAGCAGACCUUGCUCUCAGAUCCUCCCGGUUCACCUGGAUUGGCAGACCCUAAUCUAACCCUGGCCCUAACCUAAACCACCCGUAAGCUAAAACAUUUGAUUAAAGAGUUUGUUGUGGGUAUUUACGUAGCUUGGAAGUUAUGGCUUGGAGGCUCAAGUCAGGGUAAAAUAAAGUCUCUUUUCUCAAAUGCUGCUACUGGGGAAACAGAAAAUGGCUGAUGCAAGCUGUAUGCACAGACUGUCCUUUAACACCAAUAUGAAUGAUUUACACUAUAGUCCAUUUGGAUAAUAUACCAAUGUGAUAAAAUAAGUGAAUGCUCUGUAAAUGAUGACUGGAGGACAUGCUCUACCUUUACCUGCCUUUGGUAAUGUAAAUGAAAGUACAUUCCACAUAUUUAUAUAUAGAAAUAUGUACAUACUGUAUGCAUUGAGAACUUUAUAAAUCAGUGGAUGUAAAUGGUUUGAUGUGACCAGUUUGCAGUAUUUGUCAGCAUCAUCAUAUACCACAACCCAUAUGUGUUUCUGCCUCCUUCCCACUGCCCAUCACUAUCCUUCAGCAGUGUGAUGUCAGUCACAACAUGAUGAUUUGUGGGAAGCCCAGGGAAUCGUGCAUCAAUGCAUUGUUGACUCCCCAAAGCUGCCUGGUCGCUCUUUUACAAUUCUCUUCAUUUCUAAAAGCCACAGGACUCUGCAUUUGUAUUUAUUCCAGUAAUAUGCAUACAUUAUGAAUCAGAAAUCCAUUGGGGUGCUGUCUGCAUAAGAUUAUCAGCCACAGGAAAUAAAACUGUAUUUUAGGUUGGAUUGUUGUUUUUCUGGCAUUUCAAGUUGUAUCUGCUAUCUAUAUUUUGGGAUGCAGAAGAACAUCUUUGAAUACAGAACUGUCAUCAUCUUGUUAUUAAUGACAGGUAAUGGACUGUCUCCAUGAGAAUCAAAAGAAACAAAGAAAGCACUUUGGGCCUGAUUCUGCUGUAACAUUAAACCAUGAAACACGACUGUACAAUCACUACAGCUUUUCUGUCUUUUGCUUUUUAUGAUUUAACAAUUGCUGACAUUACAAAGGUUUUCUUUUCCCACAUGUAUUAAUAAUAAAUCUGAUAUGAUAAAAAAAAUCAC